GACGAACGCUGGCGGCGUGCUUAACACAUGCAGGUCGAACGGAAAGGCCCCUUCGGGGGUACUCGAGUGGCGAACAGGUGAGUAACACGUGAGUAACCUGCCCUUGACUUCGGGAUAACUUCAGGAAACUGGGGCUAAUACCGGAUAGGAAUCCUUGCUGCAUGGUGGGGGUUGGAAAGCUUCGGCGGUUUUGGAUGGACUCGCGGCUUAUCAGCUUGUUGGUGGGGUAGUGGCUUACCAAGGCUUUGACGGGUAGCCGGCCUGAGAGGGCGACCGGCCACAUUGGGACUGAGAUACGGCCCAGACUCCUACGGGAGGCAGCAGUGGGGAAUAUUGCACAAUGGGCGGAAGCCUGAUGCAGCAACGCCGCGUGCGGGAUGACGGCCUUCGGGUUGUAAACCGCUUUCAGCAGGGGCGAAGCUUGUGGUGACGGUACCUGCAGAAGAAGCACCGGCUAACUACGUG
RNAcentral lists this ribosomal RNA (465 nucleotides) under uncultured bacterium. Its description in RNAcentral is "partial 16S ribosomal RNA". It matches the Rfam family "Bacterial small subunit ribosomal RNA", at positions 28 to 507 of the family's 1533-position model. The record is from RNAcentral.